This 1407-nucleotide long non-coding RNA is filed under the name Felis catus (domestic cat). RNAcentral describes it as "lncRNA (ENSFCAG00000052627.1)". Lineage: Eukaryota; Metazoa; Chordata; Mammalia; Carnivora; Felidae. The record is from RNAcentral.
GCCCCAGAGCUGCGCAGAAGUCAUUCUUCAAACAGUAGAUUAAAACAUCUGUCAGGGGAGCCUGGAGGGGCCCGCCGCAGCCGCUGCAGCUGGACCUGCCAAUCACUGGCUUCCAGGGGGCGGUGGGAGCACAGAGGAGGCCAGGUGGGAGCACAGUGGAGCUGGGAGGGAGCACAGAGGGGGUCAGGUGGGAACACAGAGGGGCCGGUAGGGAGCAGAGAGGGGGCCAGAGGGAGCAGAGAGAGGGAGCAGAGAGGGGCCAGGAGGGAGCAAGAGAGGGGCCAGGUGGAGCACAGGGGAGCGGGGAGGGAGCAGAGAGGGGCCAGGUGGGAGCACAGGGGAGCUGGAGGGAGCAGAGAGGGGGCCAGGUGGGAGCACAGGGGAGCUGGGAGGGAGCAGAGGGGGGCCAGGUGGGAGCACAGAGGGGCCGGUAGGGAGCAGAGAGGGGCCAGGAGGGAGCAAGAGGGGGCCAGGAGGGAGCAGAGAGGGGCCAGGUGGGAGCACAGGGGAGCUGGAGGGAGCACAGAGGGGGGCCAGGUGGGAGCACAGGGGAGCUGGAGGGAGCACAGAGGGGGCCAGUGGGAGCACAGGGGAGCUGGGAGGGAGCACAGAGGGGGCCAGGUGGGAGCACAGGGGAGCUGGGAGGAGCACAGAGGGGGGCCAGGUGGGAACACAGAGGGGCCGGGAGGGAGCAGAGAGGGGCCAGGAGGGAGCAGAGGGGGCCAGGUGGGAGCACAGAGGGGGCCAGGAGGAGCAGAGAGGGGGCCGGUAGGGAGCACAGAGGGGGUCAGGUGGGAACACAGAGGGGGCCGGGAGGAGCAGAGAGGGGCCAGGUGGGAGCACAGGGGAGCUGGGAGGGAGCAGAGAGAGGGAGCAGAGGGGGCCAGGAGGGAGCAGAGAGGGGGCCGGGAGGAGCAGAGAGGGGCCAGGUGGGAGCACAGAGGGGGCCAGGUGGAGCACAGGGGAGCUGGGAGGGAAGCAGAGAGGGGCCAGGUGGGAGCACAGGGGAGCUGGGAGGGAGCAGAGAGGGGCCAGGUGGAGCACAGAGGAGCGGGGAGGGAGCACAGAGGGGGCCAGGUGGGAGCACAGGGGAGCUGGGAGGGAGCACAGAGGGGGCCAGGUGGGAACACAGAGGGGCCGGUAGGGAGCAGAGAGGGGCCAGGAGGGAGCAGAGAGGGGGCCGGGAGGGAGCAGAGAGGGGGCCGGGAGGGAGCACAGAGGAGCGGGGAGGGAGCAGAGAGGGGCCAGGUGAGAGCACAAAGGGCUGGGAGGGAGCACAGAGGGGGCCAGGUGGAGCACAGAGGGGGCCAGGUUGGAGCACAGGGGAGCUGGGAGGGAGCAGAGAGGGGCCAGGAGGGAGCAGAGGGGGCCGGGAGGGAGCACAGAGGGGGCCAGGUGGGAGCAUAG